CCCUUAGAUGUUCUGGGCCGCACGCGCGCUACACUGACGAAUGCAACGAGCUUAUAACCUUGGCCGAAAGGUCUGGGUAAUCUCCAAAUUUCGUCGUGAUGGGGAUAGAUUAUUGCAAUUAUUAAUCUUCAACGAGGAAUGCCUAGUAAGCGCAAGUCAUCAGCUUGCGUUGAUUACGUCCCUGCCCUUUGUACACACCGCCCGUCGCUCCUACCGAUUGAAUGGUCCGGUGAAGUUCAUGGAGUCGCGGCUGCUCCAGCUGUUUUCGAAGUGAAAUGGACCUCAUGAUUUAGAGGAAGGAGAAGUCGUAACA
This 313-nucleotide ribosomal RNA is filed under the name uncultured eukaryote. Its description in RNAcentral is "partial 18S ribosomal RNA". It matches the Rfam family "Eukaryotic small subunit ribosomal RNA", at positions 1470 to 1796 of the family's 1831-position model. The record is from RNAcentral.